UCUCUCAUCAUUCUCCCUUCUCUCAUUUGCUCUCUUGCUACUUAACAAAACAUUAAUAUUCCGGUUUCAUAUUUGAAGUUCAAGUUGAAGAUUAACUGAAGAAGGAUUUAUUUAUUUGUUUGAAUGUAUAUAUAUAUCUAUAUAUUUAUUUUUUUCGCUAUUUUAUUUAUUCGAAUGUUGUAACAAUUGUAACCCUAAAGAUCAUAUAAUAAAUUUAUUUGGGGGUCGUCUA
This is a long non-coding RNA of Solanum pennellii, 232 nucleotides long. RefSeq lists it as uncharacterized. The transcript is spliced from 2 exons. The record is from RefSeq and is a predicted model, not a curated record. Lineage: Eukaryota; Viridiplantae; Streptophyta; Magnoliopsida; Solanales; Solanaceae.